This 2040-nucleotide ribosomal RNA is filed under the name Occasjapyx japonicus. RNAcentral's name for it is "SSU rRNA". It matches the Rfam family "Eukaryotic small subunit ribosomal RNA". The record is from RNAcentral. Lineage: Eukaryota; Metazoa; Arthropoda; Diplura; Dicellurata; Japygidae.
AGUGAUAUGCUUGUCUCAAGGGCUAAGCCAUGCACGUCUAAGUAGAAGCCCGCCUCCGGCGGGCGAGACCGCGAAUGGCUCCAUACAACAGUCCCAGUUUACUGGAUGGUCGUGGCCUAGUUGGAUAACUGUGGUAAUUCUAGAGCUAAUACAUGCCCCCGAGCUCCGACUGUGCGGCGGCCGGCGGGGCUCCGGCUCUGCCCGGUCGCCGCGGGAGGAGCGCUUUUAUUAGCUCAAAGCCGACCGGGCUUCAACCCCUCCCCUUAACCGGGGUCGGGGCGGCCCGUUUCCACUCGGCGAAUCGAAAGAACCCGCAGAUCGCGCGGCGUCUCGUGCGCCCGCGACGCGUCCUUCAAGCGUCUGCCUCAUCAGCUUUCGACGGUAGGUUAGACGCCUACCAUGGCGGCAACGGGUAACGGGGAAUCGGGGUUCGAUUCCGGAGAGGGAGCCUGAGAAACGGCUACCACAUCCAAGGAAGGCAGCAGGCGCGCAAUUUACCCCCUCCCGGCACGGGGAGGUAGUGACGAGGCGUACCGCCGCGGGCCCCCGCGCGGGGCCGCGUAGGCGGAAUGAGCACAUUUUAAGUCCUUUAGCGAGGACCCAUCGGAGGGCAAGUCUGGUGCCAGCAGCCGCGGGAACUCCAGCUCCGAUAGCGUAUGUUAACGCUGCUGCGGUUAAAGAGCUCGUCGCCGGACGUCGGCCUCGGAGGGGCGGUUCGCCGGAGGGCGACACUUCCCCAUUCCGGGCGCAGUGGCGCGUUCCCGGGCGGCUCGGGUCAACCCGCGCAUCCGUCCCUCCGCCGGUCCCGGUUUAGCGGGCUGGGUGCGGGGCGUGUUCGGUCGCGGUGCGGGUGGGUUUCGGCCCCCCGCCCCGUCCGUCUCGCCCCCCCCUCCCGCGGCCGGGGUUCCCCGGCGGCAGGUCGGCGGUGCGCGGGCCCCGGCCUCCAACCCGGGAAAUCGGCGCCGGUUUCCUCGAGAAAAUCGGAGUGCUCAGAGCAGGCUGCUAGAGGCUCGCACGGGAGUGCAUGGAACUAGACCCCAACGGCCCCGGCCCGUCUUUGCUGUCGGCUUCGGGGGCCGGGGUCAGGGUCGAUGGGGACGGCCGGGGGCAUUGGUACCGCGACGUUAGAGGUGAAAUUCAGGGAUCGUCGCGUGACCGACGACUGCGAAAGCAUUUGCCCAGUACGUUCCCGUCGGCCGAGAACGAAAGUCGGAGGCUCGAAGGCGAUCAGAUACCGCCCUAGUUCUAACCUUAAACGAUGCCGACCGGCGAUCCGCCGCAGGAGGCGCGCGUCGGCGCCUCGGCGGGCAGCCCGCCCGGGAAACCCGAGUGUUCGGGCUCCGGGGGGAGUAUGGUCGCAAGGCCGAAACUUAAAGGAAUUGACGGAAGGGCACCACCAGGAGUGGAGCCUGCGGCCUAAUUUGACUCAACACGGGGAACCUCACCAGGUCCGGACCCCGGCAAGAUUGACAGGUUCACACGACACAGCCCUUUCUCGAUCCGGUGGGGGGUGGUGCAUGGCCGUUCGUGGUUCGUGGAGCGAUCCGUCUGGUUCAUUCCGGUAACGGGCGAGGCCCCGGCCAGUUAACUAGAGCGGGGCUCCCCGCAUAGGGCGCCCGGCUCAGGGAGGUAACACUCCCGGCUCUUCUCAACGGGACGGGCGGCGGGAAGCCGCACGAAGUCGGGGCAAGAACAGGUCCGUGAUGCCCUUAGAAGUCCUGGGCCGCACGCGCGCUACACUGACGGAGGCAGCGCGCUUCCUCUUCCCUCCCAGUCCGAGAGGACUCGGGAACCGCUCAACCUCCGUUCGUGCUGGGGACUGGGGACUGCAAGGUCCCCACGAACGAGGAAUUCCUCGUAGGCGCGAGUCAUCACCUCGCGUCGAUUACGUCCCUGUCCUUUGUACACACCGCCCGUCGCUACAUCCGAUCGAGCGAUCGAGCGAGGUUUUCGGACCGGGCCCGGCGCGGCUGCCUCGGCGGCCGCGUCGGCGUUCCCAGGGAAGUUGCCCGAGCUGGAUGGCUCAGAGGAGGUAUAAGU